This 346-nucleotide unclassified non-coding RNA is filed under the name Hevea brasiliensis (rubber tree). The record is from RNAcentral. Lineage: Eukaryota; Viridiplantae; Streptophyta; Magnoliopsida; Malpighiales; Euphorbiaceae.
GGCGAUUAAACAGAUGCAUUGACAAGAUUUUCUCUCCCAGGUGGUGUGAUGCCUGAUAUUUGAGUCCUCUCCAUCACAAGUGAUUUCGCUUUUAUUGAGAGGUUGGCUAUUGAACUGGGAAGCUUUCUCCAAAUUGAUUCAUAAAUAAACCGACUUCAAUCUGCUACGGUUAGUGAUAGAACUUAGAAAAGCUAGAUCAUCAUCUAACCCCGACUCCCAAACUAUUGUUACCCAAAUUUAGCCACCAGAGAUUUUCGAGGCCAUUAAAAUGAAUAGACACUUUUCCUGUAAAUAAUUACCGGAUAUGUCCAAUUUCCCGAUCUUUGAAGCGUUGACUAAUGAAUUU